This 3770-nucleotide long non-coding RNA is filed under the name Homo sapiens (human). RNAcentral describes it as "HSALNT0136799". Lineage: Eukaryota; Metazoa; Chordata; Mammalia; Primates; Hominidae. The record is from RNAcentral.
ACUCAGGUCCCCUUCCACACUAUGGAAGAUUUGUUCUUUUGCUCUUUGCAAUAAAUCUUGCUGCUGCUCACUCUUUGGGUCUGCACUGCCUUUAUGAGCUGUUAACACUCACUGCGAAGGUCUGCAGCUUCAAUUCUGAGGCCAGCAAGACAACAAACCCACCAGAAGGAAUGAACAACUCUGGAUGGGAGGAACGAACAACUCCAGAUGCACUGCCUUAAGAGCUGUAAUGCUCACCGUGAAGGUCUGCAGCUUCACCCCUGAAGCCAGCAAGACCACGAACCCACCAGAAGGAAGAAACUCUGAACACAUCCGAACAUCAGAAGGAACAAACUCUGGACACACCAGCUUUAAGAACUGUAACACUCACUGUGAGGGUCUGCGGCUUCUUUCUUGAAGUCAGUAAGACUAAGAAUCCACCAAUUCUGGACACAUUUUGGAGACCAUGAAGGGGCUAUCACCUAUCACCAAGCAGUGAGACUAUCGCCAAGUGGUGAGACAAUCGCCUUUCGCCAAGUGGUGAGACUGGUGCCCAUCGGCAAGCAAAUCGAGGCCAUCAAGCUACAGAUGGCCUUACCAAUGAAACCCCAAAUGAGCUCAACUAACAACUUCUACCAAGGAUCCCUGGACUGACCCACUGGCCCUUCCACUGGCCUAAAGAAUUCCCCUCUGGAAGACACUACAACUGCAGGGCCCCUUCUUCACCCUUAUCUAGCAGGAAGUAGCUAGAGCAGUCAUCGGCCACAUUCCCAAAAUCAGGUGGGGUGUCCUGUUUAGAGUGAGGAUUGAGAGGUGACAACGUGCUAGUGGCCCUCGCUCACUCUCAGUGCCUCCUUGGCCUCAGCGUCCACUCUGGCCACGUUUGAGAGCCCUUUAGCCUGCCACUGCACUGUGAGAGUCCCUCUCUGGGCUGGCUGAGGCUGGAGCCAGCUCCCUCUGCUUGCGGGGAGGUGUGGAGGGAGAAGCACAGGUGGGAACCAGGGCUGCAUGCGGUGCUCAUGGGCUAGCACGAGUUCCAGGUGGGUACAGGCUUGGUGGGCCCUGCACUUGGAGCGGCUGGCCAACACUGCCAGCCCCAGGCAGUGAGGGGCUUAGCAACCGGGCCAGCACCUGCGGUGGGGGCGCUGGGUACUCCAGCACUGCCGGCCUGCCCGCACCAUGCUCGAAUUCUCACCAGGCCUCAGCUGCCUAGCCACAGGGCAUGGCUUGGGACCUGCAGCCCACUAUGCCCAAGACCCUUGUGGUGGGCUCCCACGUGGCCCCAGCCUCCCCAUUGGGUGCCGCCCCCUGCUCCCCGGCACCCAGUCCCAUCAACUGCCCAAGGGCUGAGGAGUGCAGGUGUGUGGCGUGGGACUGGCAGGCAGCUUGCCUGCGGCCCCAGCACAGGAUCCACUAGGUGAAGCCAGCUGGGCUAUUGAGUUGGGUGGGGACUUGGAGAACUUUUGUGUCUAGCUGGAAGAUUGUAUAUGCACAAAUCAGCACUCUGUGUCUAGCUCAGGGUUUGUAAAUGCACCAAUCAGCACUCUUUGUCUAGCUCAAGGUUUGUAAAUGCACCAAUCAGUGCUCUGUAGCUAGCUAAUCUAAUGGGGACUUGGAGAACUUUUACAUCUAGCUAGAGGAUUGUAAAUACACCAAUCAGCACUCUGUGUCUAGCUCACAGAUUGUAAAUGCACCAAUCAGCACCCCAUCAAAACAGACCAAGCAGCUCUCUGUAAAAUGGGCCAAUCAACAGGAUGUGGGUGGGGUGAGAUAAGGGAAUAAAAACAGGCUACCUGAGCCAGCAGCGGCAACACGCUCGGGCCCCCUUCCACACUGUGGAAGAUUUGUUCUUUUGCUCUUUGCAAUAAAUCUUGCUGCUGCUCACUCUUUGGGUCUGCACUGCCUUUAUGAGCUGUAACACCAGAAGGUCUGCAGCUUCACUCCUGAGGCCAGCAAGACCAUGAACCCACUGGGAGGAAUGAACAACUCCUGACAGGAAGAAUGAACAACUCCAGAUGCGCCGCCUUAAGAGCUGUAACACUCACCGCAAAGGUCUGCAGCUUCACUCCUGAAGCCAGCGAGACCACAAACCCACCAGAAGGAAGAAACUCUGGACACAUCCGAACAUCAGAAGGAACAAACUCUGGACACACAAUCUUUAGGAACUGUAACACUCACCGCGAGGGUCCGCGGCUUCAUUCUUGAAGUCAGUGAGACCAAGAACCCACCAAUUCUGCAUACAGUGGGACCAGUUGCACCUGUUUCCCUACAGCCAUCUGAGCUACUGUGUUUGACAACAGCUGCACCAUGGCAGGAAGGGAGAAAAAUUCAUCUGCCAGUCUCCACCUCCCACAGAUACUAGAUCAAUAAACAUCUCCUAAGAAAGAGAUCCCAGGCAGUAGGUGAGAGAUGUGCAGCAUGGGCAUGUGUCUGGGGCGCUACAUGUGGCCAAGAUCUCUUUUCAUCUAUCUUAAGUUCUUAGGCCAGUUGCUGAGCAGAGGAGGCAUGCAAAUGUAGACAAAACAGAGAAAAACAAUUUUACAUGACAAAUAACACUCUAGAGACCACUGCACUUCAAUAUGAGCAGCAAAGCAAGAAGACAACUCUAAAAGGAGAGUAAAAAAAUGUUUCUCUGUAGUUUCAAGAGCAGGCUGAGGGAGAAAUAACAUCUGUCUCUGCCCUCACUUGGAGCCCACUUUCUCUGUUCAGCUCUGCCAUUUUCUGCAUUUUAAAAUUUCUCUAGUCCUCGUGUUCCCAUGAGAUUAGGAUUUUCCAGAAGGAAACUUCUUAAAAUGUAAGCAAAAAAAAAAAAAAAAAAGAAUAAAAUUCCACAAAUGGAAAGAUGUGGAAAUGUUUGCAAAGCACAGGCUGGAGCCCAGCCAAUUUGGAGAGGAACACAGCCCCUAGUUUCUUUUCUGUUCUGGAUUUUUUAGUGUAAGUUUCACAGCCUCAUGUAUUUCAGGUAUGAAGCACAUCCCAGCCUUUAUAGAAAAAUAAACCAAAACAAAAAUGAUUUUUUAUUUUGUUAGUGUUAGUUCACUGUGUGAUUAGAAGAUACUACAGCCAUUUUUCUAAUGAUAAGACACAACUGUCUCUCUAGUCAUGAAGGCUUAAGCACACAAUUGCGGCUGUAUCUGAUGAUUUUAUUAGCCUCAGAUUACAAAGAAAAUAUUGCCUCUAUGAAUCUCUGGCCUCUUGAUUACCUGCCAACCAUUCUAAUGUAGACUGAAGUCAGGCUGAGUUUAAAUAACUGCAAUCAGAACAUCUAAUCGGUGAACAGCCUUUGGAAGAGGGUUACACAGACUAAGGUUUGGAAGUGACAGGAGCAGUCAAUUUGGGAAUAAGUUGCUGGAUAUAAAAUUCAUUCUUUCUAGUUGUACCACAAUAGAUUGGAGGUACAGCUCCCCAGAGGAGAGACCUAACUCCAACUCUAACUAAUGGUCCUUUUUUUUUUUGGCAGUUACCUAUCUAUUAUAUAAUUUAAGUCUCAACACGGUUCUCUGUGGUUGGGAAGUUAUCUCAAUUCCUAUGAUGCAGAAAAGGAAAUAGGCAGAGAAAAUAGCCAGUUUUCACAUUGUUCUAGUGACUACGUCAGGACGAGAUUCUGGGUCUCUUCAAUGUUAGGUUAGGGCUGUCCUACAUAUAUGAACAUUCAGUACCCAAUUAAAGAUACAGGUUACAGUAACCAAAACAGCAUAGUACUAGUACAAGAACAGACACAUAGACCAAUGGAACAGACUAGAGAACUCAGAAAUAAGACCAUCCAUCUACAACCAUCUGAUCUUUGACAA